This 74-nucleotide transfer RNA is filed under the name Jynx ruficollis (rufous-necked wryneck). RNAcentral describes it as "tRNA-Ser". It matches the Rfam family "tRNA". From Rfam's summary of the family: Transfer RNA (tRNA) molecules are approximately 80 nucleotides in length. The record is from RNAcentral. Lineage: Eukaryota; Metazoa; Chordata; Aves; Piciformes; Picidae.
AAGAAAGAAGCAUAAUGGGUCUGAUGCGGUUGGCUUGAAACCAAUGUAUGAGGGUUCGAUUCCUUCCUUUCUUG